GGGCCUGUAGCUUAGUGGCUAAGGUGCUUGGAUGUGACCCGGGAGGUUGUUGGUUCAAGUCCCUUGAGCCA
Non-coding RNA from Albula goreensis, 71 nucleotides. The record is from the annotation of a GenBank genome assembly. Lineage: Eukaryota; Metazoa; Chordata; Actinopteri; Albuliformes; Albulidae.